This 496-nucleotide ribosomal RNA is filed under the name uncultured bacterium. RNAcentral's name for it is "partial 16S ribosomal RNA". It matches the Rfam family "Bacterial small subunit ribosomal RNA", at positions 28 to 507 of the family's 1533-position model. The record is from RNAcentral.
GAUGAACGCUGGCGGGUGCCUUAUACCUGCCAGUCGAGCGAACGGACGCGAAGCUUGCUUCUAUGCUGUUAGCGGCGGACGGGUGAUUAACACGUGGAUAACCUACCUAUAAGACUGGGUAAACUUCGGGAACCCGGGGCUAAUCCCGGAUAAUCUUUUGACCGGAUUGUUUCGAAUGUGAAAGACGGUCUUGUUGUCACUUAUUCACGGAUUCGCGCUGCAUUAGCUAGUUGGUAAGGUAACGGCUUCCCAAGACAACGACGCACAGCCGACCUGAGAGGUGGAUCGGCCACACUGGAACUGAGACACGGUCCAGACUCCUGAGAGAGGCAGCAGUAGGGAAUCGGCCGCAAUGGGCGAAAGCCUGACGGAGCAACGCCGCGUGAGUGAUGAAGGUCUUCGGAGCGUAAAACUCUGUUAUUAGUGAAGAACAGAUGUGUAAGUAACUGUGCACAUCUUGACGGUACCUAAUCAGGAAGCCACGGCUAACUACGUG